UUCCUACGGGAGGCAGCAGUGGGGAAUAUUGCACAAUGGGGGAAACCCUGAUGCAGCGACGCCGCGUGAGCGAAGAAGUAUUUCGGUAUGUAAAGCUCUAUCAGCAGGGAAGAAAAAUGACGGUACCUGAGUAAGGAGCCCCGGCUAACUACGUGCCAGCAGCCGCGGUAAUACGUAGGGGGCAAGCGUUAUCCGGAAUUACUGGGUGUAAAGGGAGCGUAGACGGCAAUGCAAGUCCGGAGUGGAAUGCGGCAGCUCAACUGCCGAACUGCUCUGGAAACUGUAUGGCUGGAGUUCAGGGGAGG
RNAcentral lists this ribosomal RNA (305 nucleotides) under uncultured bacterium. RNAcentral describes it as "bacterial SSU rRNA". It matches the Rfam family "Bacterial small subunit ribosomal RNA", at positions 336 to 657 of the family's 1533-position model. The record is from RNAcentral.